AAGAGCCAGCCUGGCGCUAGUGCGCCUGGCCACGGUAAUUAAAACAGCAUUUUAAAGAAAUCAGAAAGUCUAGUUCAAGAACGUGAGGGUCCUCUGACACAUCCUAGAAUUAGAAGUAGUGGAGAUGCACCUUACUUGCCAGUCAUGCUCCGAAGUCAAUGAGUACGGAGAGAACCAGGUGCGGUCAAAAUUGCCCUUGAAACUCCUUCGGGAAGGCUCCACGUGGAGGCAACGUGCCGCCUCCCAGCCCGCUUUUCCUUCCGAUGCUGUUGAAGCCCAGGUGAAGCUGUCAGCUUAUGUUUAAGGCCAUGAACUUCCGGAUCGGGGAAACCCAGCGAGGUGCUCACCCUGUGUCAGCAACGAGGGACCGGGCUCAACGGAGGACACAGCAGACUCCCCCACCUUAUGCUCCUCCUAGAACAGGAGCAAGUCACCAGGAAGGAAGGAAGGAAGUCACCAACAGAAUGGCUUGAAUUACUUCUCCUCCUUUCACUUUUCCAAACCAAUGCCUUUUGUUGAAUUUGAGUGUAUAUUAAAUGAACCUUUGAUGUGACUGAACUCAAACCAUGUAUAUAGCAAGGCAGGGUGCUGAGAACCCAGGGUCUCAGAAUGAUGUGAAAAGUUUCCACAGGCACUCUCCUUCACCCGCCUCUGCAGAGCCCUUCCCUGUGCAACAGAGCCACAGGCUCCCAAGAGAGUUCCCACUAACACCCGACGUUGAGGAACAGGGCUUGCGGGCUGCUGGAAGGGCUCUGAGUGUCCGGGCCUCUCACUGGCUGAGCCUACUGAGCUCACGCGGGGACUCAGGGUUUUAAGUUGACAAAUCUGAGAAGACUUUACGCUCUAGAGGAAGCUGCCUGGGUUAUGAGAUAUCAGCUCUACUUUUAUUAAAAGAUGGUGCUGCUGAUGUGCCAAGCGGAAGCGGAAGGACUUCUAAAUCCUUCUUCGUUUUUCGUGCUUUGGGACUCACGUGGGAAAUGAGUUCUUUUUCCUCCCACAUUGCUGGAUGCACAUAGGUGAGUGGUUGCUAAGAAGAUUCUUUAUGAAGGAUCAACGACUGGAGUGGGUUGGGAGUCCCUUUUGAAAAAGCAUAAAAUGGAAACACUUCUAUCCUUUGGCAUUCAGGGAGAAAAUGACACUCGCAUUCAUUAAACUUCUCCUCUGAUCAGUAUACAGGGAUUUGCAUUUACUUACAUCAUUACAGUAGAACUUCAAGCCAUUUAAAACUGUGAAAAUGUGUAUCAGUCAUUCAUGUGCUUGGUUAAUCUUUAUUCUGUCUGUACAUUGAGCCCCCAUACUUCCUAAAUCUAUCUUUCAGCCAUUAAAAAUAGCAUUAGAGAAGUGUUUUUUAAACAAAUGCCUUGAUCCUGUGUGAGAUCUGUGCCAUUCUGAAGAAAGAAUUUGAGGUGUUUCUUCUGUGUGUGCUUGAAGGUUACGUUGCCAUGGUAAUGGCUUUUUGUGAAAUAUUGGGAGAAGUGCAUCAGGAACAUUGCAUGUGGCAACUCCAUUUGGGUUCCUGUUAUUAUAGCCUGGGCAGAGCUUGACUUUUCUGGGUCCCAAACAAUCUUUCGGUAUUUUUAUAAUAACAGGAAUUUGCAUUUCUAGCCCAAGGCUGACUUUCUCCUACCUCAUGCUGCUUUUAGAACAACCACAAAGAGAGUCAUUAUGGAAAUGGCUUUGUAUCAGGUAUUACAGAGAAACAAAGUGAUUUUUAUAGCAUCUCAAACAUGUAGAGCUCUUUCUCCAGAAUUCCUUCACCAAUGCGUUAUCACUACUUCUUAAAGCCGAGGAGCAUCCCGUAGAACAAUUGUCAAGAACUGGAACCAUUUAUUUUGCAUUUUUUUCACAUUUGCUCUCAUUUACUCAGAACAGUACAUAUCUUUUGUGAAAAUACAUCAAGAAUUGGGUGUGCUUUCGGGGCCUGAUCAGAAAUGUGAGUCAGGAUUAAUAGAAAAUAGAAAUCAUAAUCUGGAUGCUGCAGUGUCAGCAUCUUUUUGAGCUCGAUGGAUAGACAAGUAUUUGCAUUUAAAUAAUUCAAGUUCAUCUUGUCUUUAGCAACUGUUGGGCUCUCUCAAGCCUUUGGGAGGCCAAACUGUAUUUUCUAAAUUGGCCUAUAUUGCAAUGCACUUUAAUUUGGAUGCAUAAUAGAUAAGUACAAAGGUAUUUCAUUAGGUCCUUGUUCUAUAAUUUCCAUCCAUCGCCAGGAAAUGUUGCCCAUAUGUUUUCCAUGAAUCGGUGACAUUUUAAGGAUGUUGAUGAGCAGGUUUUUCAGAGGAUGCCCCAUUUAUUCACGCGUUUGUCCUUUCCAUAGAUGUUACUGAGCACCCACUUUGUGCCGAGGAUGUUAAGGCAAUGCCACACAUCACUUGGCUGGCAGAGUUCUCAAGUUCCUAACUGGUUCCAAGUGGGAGUCUGUGGCCAGAGGCCCCCCCGUUGCCUGGGCUCUGCUAGCUUUGGGACUUUCUCCCAGAUCUUCACUGUCAUAGCCAUUUUGCAAUGGCGCUUCAUCGCAAUAUCAUUCAUUCAUUCAACUGACAUUUGUUGGGCCAGGGUCACUACCAUGCUCAAGAGCUGUAAAGACAAGAGUAGUCUCUGCCCUGAGAGGCUUAGUACAGACCCGUCUGGGAUCCUGUCUGGAGAGUGAGAGCCAAAGGAGCUUGUUUUCUUGUUGACCCCACUGCAAUCAGACCUAGCCUUUCUUCUAACUCUUACAUCUCUUCAUUCCUCCUCUCCCUUUCCUCCUCUAGGCAAGGGCUUAUGAGGGUGCAAUGCCUAAAAUCAUGACACCAAGCUUCAUUUGCUGGGUGUGCCCAAGAGUACCAGAGACAGUGUUAUUGAGGAUUCGUUACAGCCAGAUGCGAUGUGAAGCACUUUGCGUGUCUUGUCUCAUUUAUCCUCACAGGAACCAUGUGAAGUAGAUACUACUAUCGUUCCUGUAUUAUGAACGAGGAAACUGAGGCUCAGAGUAACUGCUCUGAUAUCUCGUGGGUAGAUAAGUAGAAAAGCUGAGACCCAGAUCCAGUUUUGUCUUACCUGAGCGCCCAAGCUCUUAAACUGUGUGGAACAGCCAUGAUUACUCCAUAGCAAGUGAUGGGUCUAGUUCUAGGUAGGGUCCAUUCUCAUUUAUAAACUACGACAGCCAUGCUGCUGUUUUAAUUGUUGUACUUUAUUGAGAAACACAUGUCUGUUACAAGUCUCUUUCCAAACAAAUAUGUCUCAUAGACCUAGGAAGAAGAAGUAGAUACGAUUAUUUAAAGCACUUCAGAAAGAUUUAGAAAUUAAGUAAAUAGCUUCUCUUGCUUUCUUGUGAAUUCUUGUUCCACAUGUAAAAAAUAAAUUUUAUAUGUUAAGAAAUGCAAAUGUUUCCCAUGUAGUAUUUCUACACUAAGGAGUGUAAGCUUUCAGCAUAACGUGAGAGCCUAAGGUAUGUGUCAUGCGUCUUUGGCUCAUUUAAGUUUUUCUCUAUGUCUUUGGUUUUUAGCACUUGACUACAAUGUGCCUAGGGAUGGUUUUCUUUGUAUUUAUCAUGCCUGGGGUUUGCUGACCUUCCUGAAUCUGUAAAUUAAUGUCUUCACCAAAUUAAAAUUAUAAUACCAACUACUAAAGUUGGUGAGCACUGAGUGGAGCCAAAUUUUAUUAAUAACUUUGGCCUAAUUCGAUUUUUUAAUUGCACAAAACAAAGGGCCCCUUGCAUUGCCUUAAGUAAGACGGGGUUUGCCGUGAGGAUAUCCGUAGUGUACUGGACCAUGAAUGACAAGAGCGUCUUGGGAAUCCAAGGAAAACAAACAUAGGACAAGCAGUUCUUCCCUGAGGUGGAUAUAGGCAGCUCCAAGCAGAACUCAGCCUCAGAAGCAGGAGUGGGCGCAUCAGCCACCAACAGUGGGUGCUUCUCCACAGUGACACUCAGCAACCCUGUGCUCCCGCACUUCUGACUUGCUCAUUUCUUCUUUCAUGUGGUUUUCUGCUUAUCACACUGCAUCCGCUUAUUCAUCACGCAUAACUCCUAACCCUCUUUGCCAUGACAUUUCUAUGCAUCUUUUCAGCUCCAGCUCUCCCUCCUAACAACCUCACUUUCUCAGUAUCUCUUAGCUAAAAUUUCUGUGAGAGAGCAUCAGAUAGGCCUAGCUCAUGACCAUUAUCUCUGUUCAGGAAGAAUCUUUGAUGCCAUGUGUCUUGGAACACUGGUGAGCGGAUACAUAUCUCAAUGCCUGUAGGGAGGUGCCCAUUCUAGUCCCAGCAGCUUUCAGGGCACAAGGGUGCUAACAUCAGGGAAUGGAUCCUCAUGAUGCUGAAACGUGACUUCCUCGGUACUUCUUCAGCAGGGUCACGAAUGGGCCAUUUUCCAUGAGAGGGAACUAGAGGUGUGGUUGGUACCAUAAUGGACACAUCUAGUUUAUUCUGAGCACUUAUUUCCAUAUGUUAAAUUCGAAAGAUGCCCCCAGAACACAGCCAUGGUCAGUUGGACAGGCUGGACUUCCUAAUUGGUGGCCUUCAAUGUACAUUAUAAUAUUUUUAACUGAUUUUUUUGGUCUAGUUGUUCUAUCAGUUGCUGAAAGUGA
Molecule: long non-coding RNA, 4559 nt
Organism: Equus asinus (donkey)
Lineage: Eukaryota; Metazoa; Chordata; Mammalia; Perissodactyla; Equidae
Source: Ensembl